GGCUACGGCUCAGUGUAAGAGCAUUUGCUUUGCACACAGAAGGUCACAGGUUCAAUCCCAGGCAUCUCCA
This 70-nucleotide transfer RNA is filed under the name Sphaerodactylus townsendi. RNAcentral describes it as "tRNA-Ala". The record is from RNAcentral. Lineage: Eukaryota; Metazoa; Chordata; Lepidosauria; Squamata; Sphaerodactylidae.